This 429-nucleotide small RNA is filed under the name Pongo abelii (Sumatran orangutan). Its description in RNAcentral is "retained intron". The record is from RNAcentral. Lineage: Eukaryota; Metazoa; Chordata; Mammalia; Primates; Hominidae.
UAGGAGCCCGAAGAAGGGCAUCACUUGGUUCCCUAGGCGAGCCGCCCUAUUCCUGAACCCGCAUCAAGUCUCCCGUCCCGCAGGUCCUGAUCGAUCUGCCCACCGGAGCCUCCGGGCUUCGACAUGCUGGAGGAGCCCCGGCCGCGGCCUCCGCCCUCGGGCCUCGCGGGUCUCCUGUUCCUGGCCUUGUGCAGUCGGGCUCUAAGCAAUGAGAUUCUGGGCCUGAAGUUGCCUGGCGAGCCGCCGCUGACGGCCAACACCGUGUGCUUGACGCUGUCCGGCCUAAGCAAGCGGCAGCUAGGCCUGUGCCUGCGCAACCCCGACGUGACGGCGUCCGCGCUUCAGGGUCUGCACAUCGCGGUCCACGAGUGUCAGCACCAGCUGCGCGACCAGCGCUGGAACUGCUCCGCGCUUGAGGGCGGCGGCCGC